This 340-nucleotide transfer-messenger RNA is filed under the name Candidatus Hennigella equi. RNAcentral's name for it is "partial transfer-messenger RNA". It matches the Rfam family "transfer-messenger RNA", at positions 109 to 354 of the family's 374-position model. From Rfam's summary of the family: Bacterial tmRNA, also known as 10Sa RNA or SsrA, is named for its dual tRNA and mRNA-like properties. Its role is to liberate the mRNA from a stalled ribosome. To accomplish this part of the tmRNA is used as a reading frame that ends in a translation stop signal. Lineage: Bacteria; Bacillati; Mycoplasmatota; Mycoplasmoidales; Mycoplasmoidaceae. The record is from RNAcentral.
CCCCUUAUAGCUCAAGGCUGUCAACGUGCAGACUCUGAAAAUGUUAACCUUGAAGAAGCUUUCAUGGCUAACAAACUUCAACAAGCUAACUACAACUACGCUUUAGCUUAGUUUAACCUAGCUAACAACUAAUACUUCUUAAUCUUUGUAUUUGUUGCUACUGUUCUAAGAUUAAUAUAUCUAUUCAUGCUAAUAAAAUAGACGAAUCUCAUUAGCUAUAUCAAUACCGUGUUUGUUUGAAUACACAAGAGUAUGGAUGAAGCUAGAAAUUCAAACUAAACUGUAGAAGCUUAUUUUGGGUGUUAGAUGGAAGUGGGUUCGAUUCCCACCAUCUCCACCA